CCUACGGGGGGCAGCAGUGAGGAAUAUUGGUCAAUGGGCGGAAGCCUGAACCAGCCAAGUAGCGUGCAGGAUGACGGCUCUACGGGUUGUAAACUGCUUUUAUACGGGAAUAACGCGCCUUACGUGUAGGGCUUUGCAUGUACCGUACGAAUACGGACCGGCUAAUUCCGUGCCAGCAGCCGCGGUAAUACGGAAGGUCCGGGCGUUGUCCGGAUUUAUUGGGUUUAAGGGGAGCGUAGGCGGCAUGUCAAGCGUGCUGUGAAAUGUCCGGGCUCAACCCGGGCCUUGCAGCGCGAACUGGCAUGCUAGAGUCCGCGGAGGGCAGGCGGAAUUCGUGGUGUAGCGGUGAAAUGCGUAGAUAUGACGAAGAACCCCGAUUGCGAAGGCAGCUUGCUGCAGCGGAACUGACGCUGAGGCUCGAAAGCGAGGGUAUCGAACAGGAUUAGAUACCCCAGUAGUC
Molecule: ribosomal RNA, 460 nt
Filed under: uncultured bacterium
Lineage: Bacteria
Description: partial 16S ribosomal RNA
Rfam family: Bacterial small subunit ribosomal RNA
Source: RNAcentral